CAAGUCCCCCUGUUGGAGUAUACAUUGUUUACAACACUUGUCUCAGUCAUUCCCAGGACUGAUUUUUCAGUCUUCAAAUAUUUGCCUUCAAAAGCUUCCGGCCCAUCUUCUGAGGAUGUUUUCUAUGUUCUCUGAAAAUUUCACCCAGUUAUUGUCUGAAGAUUACUGGCAAUGAAUUUUGUUUUCAGUGCAGUGGCACGGUGCUGAAAUGCCCAUGCUAAUGAGUUACCUCAUCAGCUCAGUGGACCAGGGAAACUGGUGCCUUCUUCAACUGAGCCUGAAUGAAGAAUUGCAGAGUGCUUGCUGGUGAUGUCUCUGCUAGAAACUCCUCACCCAGCCUGUCAGGAAAAGCUGGCUUUUGCUACUGUUUUCUGGAGUGCUAAUCUACACAUAAUAUUCAUUGACCUUUGUAGUAAAAUCUACCAGUAGUCAUAUGUGGCAGAUACUUUGUGUUCAACCAGCUAUUAAUUAAUCUAGCUAGAAGUUUUCUUUGUGCACCACUUUCUGGCCUGGGUUCCUAAUGCAUCAUCAUAAGCUGGGAUAACAGAUUUUACAGGUAAAGUCUCAGACUUGAAGCUAGAUUCAUGAUCUUUGUAUGGGGCUUUUAGUUAUUUUACUGCAUGUCUUGUUAAUCUUUGGCAGGAUUCUUCAAGGAUGGAGCAAUGUGUGACAUUUCCUGGGAGUGUGUACAGCUGAUGGUACAGCUGAUGGUACAGCUGAUGGUACAGAACUGGACUGGAAGGAGAGAUUCCAGGGAAGGGAUAAGACAACUCCACAACACAGUGCUUUGCAGCUUUCCAAGUGCCUUGCAGGUAAACUAGACCUGGAGUGAUGAAGAGGCUUUGACAAAACCAAGGGACAAGUCUGUGGCAGAACUAGACCAGUACCUAUAAUUUUGCAGACUUCCAGUCAGACAUCUCAGUGCUUUAGAAAGUAGGUGAAUAUCACCAACCUUGUGUGAUCAUUUCAGAAGCUACGCAAAUGCACAAGCCCUGAGACAUCUGAGGUCAUUCAACAGAUUAAGGAAACCAGCAAAUCAGUUCAGUGCAGCAGCAUGAACAAGUGAUGAGGCAGAUGAUAAAACAAGCUUUGAUUUACUGAAUUAAAAUGUAUGAUUUAGAUGCAGCUUUGCCUAAUGCUCUUCUGGAAACCAUGUGUUGUCUAAUGAAGGGUUUCCUCUUAGCGUGGGCUCCUUUCCAACUCUGAAGGGACACAUUUCUGGCACUAGAGGAAAACUAUGAAUGCAUUAUUUUCUUUGAGUUUCUCAAUUACAAAAUAAGGAUUCCAGUGUUACUGUACCUGAUAUUUCUGUCAUCAAAGCAGAUACUCUUAACCUCCUGCAAGACAAAGGCCUCUCCAGAACCUUUCCUAGACACCUGCUGAAAUGCUGAACUGGGCUUUUGCAACUAAGAUAAGGAACUGGCAAGACAGCAGUAUUACUGACCAGGCCUAUUUUAUUUGUGGCCUGACCACAGAGGCAGAACAUGCUGUCAAAG
Molecule: long non-coding RNA, 1496 nt
Filed under: Anser brachyrhynchus (Pink-footed goose)
Lineage: Eukaryota; Metazoa; Chordata; Aves; Anseriformes; Anatidae
Description: lncRNA (ENSABRG00000016195.1)
Source: RNAcentral